Molecule: ribosomal RNA, 479 nt
Filed under: uncultured bacterium
Lineage: Bacteria
Description: bacterial SSU rRNA
Rfam family: Bacterial small subunit ribosomal RNA
Source: RNAcentral
UAGUCCACGCCGUAAACGAUGAAUGCUAGCCGUCAGGUAGUUUACUAUUUGGUGCGCAGUUAACGGCGAUUAAGCAUUCCGCCUGGGGAGUACGGUCGCAAGAUUAAAACUCAAAUGAAUUGACGGGGGGCCCGCACAAGCGGUGGAGCAUGUGGUUUAAUUCGAUGCAACGCGAAGAACCUUACCAGGUCUUGACAUCCUGAAAACUUUCUAGAGAUAGAUUGGUGCCUUCGGGAAUUCAGUGAUAGGUGCUGCAUGGCUGUCGUCAGCUCGUGUCGUGAGAUGUUGGGUUAAGUCCCGUAACGAGCGCAACCCUUGUCCUUAGUUGCUAGCAGGUAAUGCUGAGAACUCUAAGGAGACUGCCGGUGACAAACCGGAGGAAGGUGGGACGACGUCAAGUCAUCAUGGCCCUUACGACCUGGGGCUACACACGUGCUACAAUGGGCGAGACAAUUUGAUGCGACUCUGCGAAGACAAGC